AACGAACGCUGGCGGCAUGCCUAACACAUGCAAGUCGAACGAGACCUUCGGGUCUAGUGGCGCACGGGUGCGUAACGCGUGGGAACCUGCCCUUAGGUUCGGAAUAACUCCCCGAAAGGGGUGCUCAUAACGGAUAAUGUCUUAGGACCAAAGAUGUAUCGCCUUUGGAUGGGCCCGGGUUGGUUUAGCGAGUUGGUAGGGUAAAAGCCUGCCAAGGCGACGAUCCAGAGCUGGUCGGGGAGGAGGACCAGCCACGCUGGGGCUGAGGCACGGCCCAGUCUCCUACGGGAGGCAGCAGUGGGGUGUAUUGGACGAUGAGCCAAAGCCUGGUCCAGCAAUGCCGCGUGUGUGAUGAAGGCCUUAGUGUUGUAAAUCUCUUUUACCCGGGAUGAGAAUGACAGUACCGGGUGAAGAAGCUCCGGCUAACUCCGUG
RNAcentral lists this ribosomal RNA (433 nucleotides) under uncultured bacterium. RNAcentral's name for it is "partial 16S ribosomal RNA". It matches the Rfam family "Bacterial small subunit ribosomal RNA", at positions 29 to 507 of the family's 1533-position model. The record is from RNAcentral.